RNAcentral lists this ribosomal RNA (3201 nucleotides) under Gastrodia elata f. glauca. RNAcentral describes it as "bacterial LSU rRNA". It matches the Rfam family "Eukaryotic large subunit ribosomal RNA". The record is from RNAcentral. Lineage: Eukaryota; Viridiplantae; Streptophyta; Magnoliopsida; Asparagales; Orchidaceae.
UGGUCCCCAGGAUGGGCGGGGCCACCCGCCGAGUUUAAGCAUAUCAAUAAGCGGAGGAGAAGAAACUUACAAGGAUUCCCCUAGUAACGGCGAGUGAACCGGGAGCGGCCCAGCAUGGGAAUCGGGCUGCCGUGCUGCGGCCCGAAUUGUAGUCUGGAGAAGCGUCCUCAGCGACGGACCGGGCCCAAGUCCCCUAGAAGGGGGCACCAGGGAGGGUGAGAGCCCCGUUCGGCUCGAACCCUGCUGCAACACGAGGCGCUGUCGGCGAGUCGGGUUGUUUGGGAAUGCAGCCCUAAUCGGGCGAUAAAUUUCGUCCAAAGCUAAAUAUGGGCGAGAGACCUAUAGCGAACAAGUACCGCAAGGGAAAGAUGAAAAAGACUUUGAAAAGAGAGUCAAAGAAUGCUUGAAAUUACCGGGAGGGAAGUGGACAGGGGCUGGCGGUGCGUCUUGGCCCAAAGCGGAACGGAUGCGUUCGGUCCGUGGCUCGACUCGAGGCGCAGACCAUUGCAGGCCAGCCCGGCGGCAAGAGCCCGGGCGAUCGUCGCUCGAGGAGACACCGUCGCGGCGGCCUCGGGAAACAGCAUGCGCCGGCUCGGUGUGCCCCCUUGGGGGCUCCAGCGCGCUCGUUGCAACGGCCCGUGGGCUCCCCGUUCGACCCGUCUUGAAACACGGACCAAGGAGCCUGACAUGUUUGCGAGCCAACGGGUGUCAAAGCCCGAUGGUCACAAGGAAGCUGAUGCGCGGGAUCCUCUAGGCAGGUGCACCGCCGACCGACCUUGAUCUUCGUGUGAAGGGUUCGAGUGAGAGCAUGCGUGUUGGGACCCGAAAGAUGGUGAAUUAUGCUUAAGCGGGGCGAAGCCAGAGAAAACUCUGGUGGAGACCCGUAGCGAUACUGAUGUGCAAAUUGUUCGUCUGACUCGGGUAUAGGAGCGACAGACUAAUCGAACCAUCUAGUAGUUGGUUCCCUCCGAUGUUUUCCUCAGGAUAGCUGGACCCCCGAACAGAGUUAUAUCGGUUAAAGCCAAUGAUUAGAGGUAUCGGGGGCACAACGCUCUCGACCUAUUCUCAAACUUUAAAUAGGUAAUACGGCUCGACUGCUUCGUUGAGCCGAGCCGAGCCGCGGAAUUGAGGGCUCCAAGUGGGCCAUUUUUUGUAAGCAGAACUGGCGAUGCGAGAUGAAUCGGAAGCUAGGUUACGGUGCCCAACUGUGCGCUAACCUAAAACCCACAAAGGGUAUUAGUUGAUUAAGACAGCAGGACGGUGGUCAUGAAAGUCAAAAUCCGCUAAGGAGUGUAUAAUAACUCACCUGCCAAAUCAACUAGCUGUGCGCGAGCCCGUGCGGAGCGGCCGUUGGUGUGGAUCUUGGUGGUAAUAGCAAAUAUUCAAAUGAGAGCUUUGAAGGCCGAAGGGGGGAAAGGUUCCAUGUGAACGGCACUUGCGCAUGGGUUAGCCGAUCCUAAGAGAUGGGGGAGGCCCGUAAGAUAGCAUCGCUUUGCGCGAGCUUCGAAAAGGAGUCGUGUUAAAAUUCCCGAGCCGGGAUGUGGCGGCUGACGGCAACGUUAGGUAGUCCAGAGACGCCGGCAGGGGCCUCGAGAAGAGUUAUAUUUUCUGCUUAACAGCAUGCCUGCCUUGAAAGCGGCUCAGCCGGAGGUAGGGCCCAGCGACUGGAAGAGCGUCGUACGUUGAGCGGCGUCCAGUGCGCCCCCGAUGGCCCUUGAAAAUUUAGAGGGCCGAGUGCCGUCCACGCCCGGUCGUACUCAUAACCGCAUCAAGUCUCCAAGGUGAACAGCCUCUGGUCGAUAAAGCAAUAUAGGCAAGGGAAGUCGGCAAAAUGGAUCCGUAACUUCGGGAAAAUGAUUGGCUCUGAGAGUUGGGCUCGGAGGUCCUAGCCCCGAAUCCUUCGGCUGUCGGGGACUGCUUGAGCUGCGUUCACGACGAGAGCGGGUUGUCGCGUGCUGGCUGGGGGACAGAUUGGGAACGGCCCCACGGGGCCUUCCCAAGGCAUCGAAUAACCGACUCAGUACUGGUACGGUCAAGGAGAAUCCGACUGUUUAAUUAAAACAAAGCAUUGCGAUGGUCCCAGCGGAUGCUCACGCAAUGUGAUUUCUACCCAGUGCUCUGAAUGUCAAAGUGAAAAAAUUCAACCAAGCGCGGGUAAACGGCGGGAGUAACUAUGACUCUAUUAAGGUAGCCAAAUGCCUCGUCAUCUAAUUAGUAACGCGCAUUAAUGGAUUAACGAGAUUCCCACUGUCCUUGUCUACUAUCCAGCAAAACCACAGCCAAGGAAACGGGCUUGGCAGAAUUAGCGGGGAAAGAAGACCUCGUUGUGCUUGAUUCUAGUCCGACUUUGUGAAAUAACUUGAGAGGUGUAGGAUAAGUGGGAGCCGGCAUGCCGGCGGAAGUGAAAUACAAUUACUUUUAACGUUAUUUUAAUUAUUCCGUUAGACGGAGGCAGGACACUGCCCCUCCUUUUGGCUUUCAAGUCCCGCUCCGGCGGGUCGAUCCGGGCGGAAGACAUUGUCAGGUGGGGAGUUUGGCUGGGGAGACACAUCUGUUAAAAGAUAACGUAGGUAUCCUAAGAUGAGCUCAACAAGAACAGAAAUCUCGUGUGAAACAAAAGGGUAAAAACUUGUUUGAUUCUGAUUUCUAGUGCGAAUACGAACCGUAAAAGCAUGGCCUAUCGAUCCUUUAGUUAUUCGGAGUUUGAAGCUAGAGGUGUCAGAAAAGUUACCACAGGGAUAACUGGCUUGUGGCAGCCAAGCAUUCAUAGCGACGUUGCUUUUUGAUCCUUCGAUGUCGGCUCUUCCUAUCAUUGAGAAGCAUAAUUCACCAAGUGUUGGAUUGUUCACCCACCAAUAGGGAACGUGAGCUGGGUUUAGACCAUCGUGAGACAGGUUACUUUUACCCUACUAAUGAUCGUGCCGCGAUAGUAAUUCAACCCAGUACGAGAGGAACCGUUGAUUCACGCAAUUGGUUAUCGCGCUUGGUUGAAAUGCCAGUGGCGUGAAGCUACCGUGUGCAGGAUUAUGACUGAACGCCUCUAAGUCUGAAUCUGCGCUAAUGAUGCGGCGCCUGAGCCCGUCGAUCGCCCUCCGACCGGCAGUAGGGGCAUCGCCCCAAGGGCACGCGAGCCGGGCUGUGCUCGCGCAGUUCUUCUCAUAAGAAUCAGCGCGGCGGCCUUGAAUUGCAGCAUCGAACGAU